This 460-nucleotide ribosomal RNA is filed under the name uncultured Desulfocapsa sp. Its description in RNAcentral is "bacterial SSU rRNA". It matches the Rfam family "Bacterial small subunit ribosomal RNA", at positions 925 to 1382 of the family's 1533-position model. Lineage: Bacteria; Pseudomonadati; Thermodesulfobacteriota; Desulfobulbia; Desulfobulbales; Desulfocapsaceae. The record is from RNAcentral.
ACAAGCGGUGGAGUAUGUGGUUAAUUCGACGCAACGCGCAGAACCUUACCUAGACUUGACAUCCCGGGGAUCUUCUGGAAACAGAGAAGUGCUUUAGCAAUAAAGAACCCGGUGACAGGUGCUGCAUGGCUGUCGUCAGCUCGUGUCGUGAGAUGUUGGGUUAAGUCCCGCAACGAGCGCAACCCUUGUCUUUAGUUGCCAUCAUUAAGUUGGGCACUCUAAAGAGACUGCCGGUGUCAAACCGGAGGAAGGUGGGAUGACGUCAAGUCCUCAUGGCCUUUAUGACCAGGGCUACACACGUACUACAAUGGCAGGUACAAAGGGCAGCCACUUAGCGAUAAGGAGCGAAUCCCGUAAAACCUGUCUCAGUUCGGAUUGCAGGCUGCAAUUCGCCUGCAUGAAGUCGGAAUCGCUAGUAAUCGCAGGUCAGCAUACUGCGGUGAAUACGUUCCCGGGCCUU